RNAcentral lists this ribosomal RNA (503 nucleotides) under uncultured bacterium. RNAcentral describes it as "bacterial SSU rRNA". It matches the Rfam family "Bacterial small subunit ribosomal RNA", at positions 8 to 507 of the family's 1533-position model. The record is from RNAcentral.
AGAGUUUGAUCCUGGCUCAGAUUGAACGCUGGCGGCAUGCCUUACACAUGCAAGUCGAACGGCAGCGGGCCUUCGGGUGCCGGCGAGUGGCGAACGGGUGAGUAAUGCAUCGGAACGUGCCAUUGAGUGGGGGAUAACGUAGCGAAAGUUACGCUAAUACCGCAUAUUCUGUGAGCAGGAAAGCAGGGGGACCGCAAGGCCUUGCGCUCUUUGAGCGGCCGAUGUCAGAUUAGCUAGUUGGUGAGGUAAAGGCUUACCAAGGCGACGAUCUGUAGCGGGUCUGAGAGGAUGAUCCGCCACACUGGAACUGAGACACGGUCCAGACUCCUACGGGAGGCAGCAGUGGGGAAUUUUGGACAAUGGGCGCAAGCCUGAUCCAGCCAUGCCGCGUGAGUGAAGAAGGCCUUCGGGUUGUAAAGCUCUUUCGGUGGGGAAGAAAUUGCACGGGUUAAUACCCUGUGUAGAUGACGGUACCCGACUAAGAAGCACCGGCUAACUACGUG